Molecule: ribosomal RNA, 465 nt
Filed under: Vreelandella stevensii
Lineage: Bacteria; Pseudomonadati; Pseudomonadota; Gammaproteobacteria; Oceanospirillales; Halomonadaceae
Description: partial 16S ribosomal RNA
Rfam family: Bacterial small subunit ribosomal RNA
Source: RNAcentral
CCUACGGUGUGCUGCAGUGGGGAAUAUUGGACAAUGGGCGAAAGCCUGAUCCAGCCAUGCCGCGUGUGUGAAGAAGGCCUUCGGGUUGUAAAGCACUUUCAGUGGGGAAGAAAGCCUUGGGGCUAAUACCCUCGAGGAAGGACAUCACCCACAGAAGAAGCACCGGCUAACUCCGUGCCAGCAGCCGCCGUAAUACGGAGGGUGCGAGCGUUAAUCGGAAUUACUGGGCGUAAAGCGCGCGUAGGCGGUCUGAUAAGCCGGUUGUGAAAGCCCCGGGCUCAACCUGGGAACGGCAUCCGGAACUGUCAGGCUAGAGUGCAGGAGAGGAAGGUGGAAUUCCCGGUGUAGCGGUGAAAUGCGUAGAGAUCGGGAGGAAUACCAGUGGCGAAGGCGGCCUUCUGGACUGACACUGACGCUGAGGUGCGAAAGCGUGGGUAGCAAACAGGAUUAGAUACCCCUGUAGUC